UGUUGUGAAGUUUUUGCUACAAGUAAUUAUAGUUUAUGAAUAAGAAAAUUGAGAAUGGAAAUGUGGAAUGUGUCAAAGAGACAACAGCAGAAAGUCACCAAUAGGUCUUCAAUGCAGCAAGAAAUUCCCGCACCCGGAGGCGUCCUUCAGCUGGCCCCUACACAAAUAUAUAUAAUAGUUCAGUGAUAAUGAACGCCAUACUAAACUCCAAAUUAUACACAAGAAACUAAAAUUAAAAAUAAUACAAGACUAAA
RNAcentral lists this long non-coding RNA (254 nucleotides) under Mytilus galloprovincialis (Mediterranean mussel). Lineage: Eukaryota; Metazoa; Mollusca; Bivalvia; Mytilida; Mytilidae. The record is from RNAcentral.